AGCUACAGACCAUCUGAACCCAGAGUGUUUCAAGUCCAGAACAACUCCCUCUUCCUUUGGGCUGGUUUCUGAUGAACCUUCUACAUCUGCUUUAAGAGGCGUGAAGUUAAUUUUCCUGUGAGUAGCAACAGCUGAGAACCUCAGAUUCGGUUUGCUAGAGGACAAACUAUGGAGGCACGUUUCAUUAUCAGCAUUUGUCUGUUUAUUCACCUGGGUGCUGUGCUGGGGGACUCGGUCCAGUCCAGGGAACCCCAUCUCUCCGGAGGAGAAGGCGACGCUGUGACCCUCAUUUGUUCUUAUGAUACCAGCUCUACCGGCUACGUCUAUCUCUUCUGGUACCGUCAGUUUCCCAACCAAGCCCCGCGGUACAUUCUCUGGAGAGGAGCGAAGCAGGCCAGAGGUGAGAGUGAUACCGCAGAUUUCGCCAAGAAGAGAUUUUCUUCCCAGGCGGAUGACAGCUCCACAGCUCUGAGCAUCACAGCCCUGGAGCUGGCAGACACGGCGGUGUAUUACUGCGCCCUGCGUGUGGCACAGUGACAGAGUCACAUAGGAGAGCCGCACAAAAACCCUCCCUUCCCCGCUACACUAGAUUUUCAGAGAUUAAUCCUGUUUGCAGAUCUCCGGAGGGGACUCCUUCCACUCUGUACAACCGCAUAUUUUGGGAUGACUAGGGGACAUCAAUUUAUUUGUUCUAGCUCCUCCCAAGAGUCAAGUACUUAUUUAAAGUGCUACAUUCAAGUGUCACACUUGGAGAAUGUAAAGGGCACGAGCUUAAAUCAUGAAACAUCUUAGACAUUUUUCUCCACAGUUCUCCAGCGGGCCUCUCCGUGUGUAGUGUGGGACCAAAACGAAAAAGAAAAAAGAAAAAACCCAACAAAAAAACAA
Non-coding RNA from Dermochelys coriacea (leatherback sea turtle), 885 nucleotides. Lineage: Eukaryota; Metazoa; Chordata; Testudines; Dermochelyidae. The record is from the annotation of a RefSeq genome assembly.